GAUGAACGCUGGCGGCGUGCCCAAUACAUGCAAGUCGAGCGAACAGACGAGGAGCUUGCUCCUCUGACGUUAGCGGCGGACGGGUGAGUAACACGUGGAUAACCUACCUAUAAGACUGGGAUAACUUCGGGAAACCGGAGCUAAUACCGGAUAAUAUAUUGAACCGCAUGGUUCAAUAGUGAAAGACGGUUUUGCUGUCACUUAUAGAUGGAUCCGCGCCGCAUUAGCUAGUUGGUAAGGUAACGGCUUACCAAGGCAACGAUGCGUAGCCGACCUGAGAGGGUGAUCGGCCACACUGGAACUGAGACACGGUCCAGACUCCUACGGGAGGCAGCAGUAGGGAAUCUUCCGCAAUGGGCGAAAGCCUGACGGAGCAACGCCGCGUGAGUGAUGAAGGUCUUCGGAUCGUAAAACUCUGUUAUUAGGGAAGAACAAAUGUGUAAGUAACUAUGCACGUCUUGACGGUACCUAAUCAGAAAGCCACAGCUAACUACGUG
This 497-nucleotide ribosomal RNA is filed under the name uncultured bacterium. Its description in RNAcentral is "partial 16S ribosomal RNA". It matches the Rfam family "Bacterial small subunit ribosomal RNA", at positions 28 to 507 of the family's 1533-position model. The record is from RNAcentral.